This 1585-nucleotide long non-coding RNA is filed under the name Sorghum bicolor (sorghum). RNAcentral describes it as "long non-coding RNA (SBIC_LNC016730)". Lineage: Eukaryota; Viridiplantae; Streptophyta; Magnoliopsida; Poales; Poaceae. The record is from RNAcentral.
AUGUGACCAGUACGUUCUCGUGUAAACAUAAGAGUAAGAGACAUCCUUUGUGCUUUAAUUACCUUGGCCUCCAUGGCUGCAUGAGGAAAAUACCUUGACGAUAGGUACUACUCUAUCUCGGCACUGAUCGUGCUGUAUGCUCAAAGGGAAGCACGCCUAGCGCUAGUCAACGCCUCGAUUUGACGUCGUGAGCGUGUUGACUAACUGGCCAAACAAAUCCACUCACGCGUUUAUUUCCAGGGAAUCAGACCUUGACGAAAAAAAGAUCUGGACGGUAAUCAGGUCAAGUCUCUUCCUGGUAGUCACAAUCGCGUUCGCGGAUCUUUAAGGACGAUUGCUGAAAGGACAAGAGGCCCUGAUUGCAUCACUGGGCAUAACUUUGACACUUCUUGACGUUUGUGAUGGACCAUCCGUUUUACAUGCAGGAGGAGGCAAUGGAUUGUUUUAUAUAAAGACAUCAAGAAUGCUAUAUAUAAAACAAAGACAAGUAUAAAAGUUGGACAACAAGACAUAAAUCAACCUCUAAAAAGUAAUAGUAAAUUAAAGACUAAAUUGGUUGUUAUCUUUCUUUGAUCGAUCCUUCAUUGCUUGUUGGAGCUUCAAGAUCACACUGAAAAGACAACAAAGAAAAAAGACACUUGCAAAACACCCUCGCUAGAUAAGACUUUGAAGAUUACAAAAAUUGCUCGCCUCUGUCAGUGAGACCUAGUACCCACUGAAAGAGUAUCCAUUGGAGGAACGCUUCAAGAAACACAAGUUUAUAAUCCUUGAGCAUCAGAAUAGUGUUGAAGAUUUCAAGCCUUAAUAUAAAGCGAUCAAAAGAAGAGGUCGGGAUUGCCGCAUUGAAAGCCAAUCAACUCCUUUCACUAAUAACACACCAAAUGGCAAGAUCUGAAGAUGCACCAAACUCUCACAACCGUUCGCCAAUGCCAAAUCGAAUUUUGUCAAGGUAGGGAGAGACUAGAGAGACCUUAUUCUAAAGCACAAUCAUUGCCACCACCUCAUCGAUGAUACUAGAAACCAUAACCCUAAAUCAAUGAGGAUCAAAAAAACUACAAAAAAAAUAAAGAAAAAGAGAUUGGGUCCCUGCUUCUCUAUCCGCUAGCGAGAUCACCAGUUAAGAGAGAGGAGAAGGACCGAGACGAUAUAGCGGGGAGGCCGGUGGUGGCGGCGGUGGCUGGGAGGCUCUUGUGGUGUUUUGGCUGUGGGGCAAUGGAUUCUAAUUCUAUUUUCUCCGUCCAAUUGAGUUACGCGGCUAAUAACAUGUGUUCGCAGUUUUUCAGUUCAAACUUGAUGCACUCUAGCGUGGGUACGUCUCAUAUGUUUCACUCUCCUCAGAUCAGUGGCUUUGUCAACGUUUCUUUAUCAUGAGAGGCCACUAUCAGCAAUGUGCAAGCUAUAUAUAUAUAUAUAUCCUAAUAGCUUUGCCGCUCGAUUGGACUCAAAAUACGGGGUUCAAGGUCAUUGCAAAUACAUUGUACACUCAUUUGCCCCUAUACAUCCCAUCAUAGGUACUGAAUGAUGUCGUAUUUGUAAACUUAUAUGGCUAUUUGAGAGCUAACAUCAAUAAAAUCAAUCAGGUAGG